GUGGUGUCGUGCUUAACGGUCGCAAUGAAUAGUUGUGCUAAGGUAGCGCAGUCAAUUGUCCUUUAAUUGGGGAAAGGAAUGAAAGGGUUGACGAGGGGGAGGCUGUCUUUGUAAUAUAAUUUGAAAUUUUCUUUUAUGUGAAAAGACUUAAAUUUAAAAAUAAGAAGAGAAGACCCCGGCGAGCUUGUUAAGGGUUGUUAAAUGAAAAUGACCAUUGAGGUUUGUUGGGGCAACGCAAAGGGAAGAAAACUCCUUUGAACGUGAUAAGGAUCCACUAAGAGUGAAUAAAGCAAAAGCUACCGCGGGGAUAACAGCGCAAUUUUCUUAGAGAGUUCAUAUCGAAGAGAAAGUUUGCGACCUCGAUGUUGGAUUAAGAUUUCCUUUUGGUGCAGGAGUUAAAAAGGUGGGACUGUUCGUCCUUUAAAAUUUU
RNAcentral lists this ribosomal RNA (430 nucleotides) under Mactra antiquata. RNAcentral's name for it is "partial 16S ribosomal RNA". It matches the Rfam family "Bacterial large subunit ribosomal RNA", at positions 1912 to 2597 of the family's 2925-position model. The record is from RNAcentral. Lineage: Eukaryota; Metazoa; Mollusca; Bivalvia; Venerida; Mactridae.